AGUGAACGCUGGCGGUAGGCCUAACACAUGCAAGUCGAACGGCAGCACAGUAAGAGCUUGCUCUUACGGGUGGCGAGUGGCGGACGGGUGAGGAAUACAUCGGAAUCUACUUUUUCGUGGGGGAUAACGUAGGGAAACUUACGCUAAUACCGCAUACGACCUACGGGUGAAAGCAGGGGAUCUUCGGACCUUGCGCGAUUGAAUGAGCCGAUGUCGGAUUAGCUAGUUGGCGGGGUAAAGGCCCACCAAGGCGACGAUCCGUAGCUGGUCUGAGAGGAUGAUCAGCCACACUGGAACUGGGACACGGUCCAGACUCCUACGGGAGGCAGCAGUGGGGAAUAUUGGACAAUGGGCGGAAGCCUGAUCCAGCCAUACCGCGUGGGUGGAGAAGGCCUUCGGGUUGUAAAGCCCUUUUGUUGGGAAAGAAAAGCAGCAGGUUAAUACCCCGCUGUUCUGACGGUACCCAAAGAAUAAGCACCGGCUAACUUCGUG
Molecule: ribosomal RNA, 492 nt
Filed under: uncultured bacterium
Lineage: Bacteria
Description: partial 16S ribosomal RNA
Rfam family: Bacterial small subunit ribosomal RNA
Source: RNAcentral